This 709-nucleotide long non-coding RNA is filed under the name Rattus norvegicus (Norway rat). RNAcentral describes it as "long non-coding RNA NONRATT033930". Lineage: Eukaryota; Metazoa; Chordata; Mammalia; Rodentia; Muridae. The record is from RNAcentral.
UUGAAUUCACCAGUGGACAAAUGAUGACAACAGGUGAACAAGCCUUUUCUUGUUUAAGAUUAGUUACUGGUAAAUUAGUGUUGAAUUCUCUUCAGCUUCAUGCUGAAGCAGCUAGCAUGUAAUGUUUUGUUGGCCUUGGGGUGGAGGGGUGAGGUGGGCGCUAAGCCUUUUUUUAAGAUUUUCCAGGUACCCCUCACUAAAGGCACUGAAGGCUUAAUGUAGCACAGCGGAGCCUUCCUGUGGCAAGAGUCAAGCAAGCAAAGUGGUAUCAUGGUUGGUUUUGAUUAGCAGUGAGGACUACCCUACCUCAACACCUUGCUGGAGUUGAAAGAAACAUUCAAAGAAAAUACUUGAGAGGCCCUGGGCUUGUUUUAACAUCUGGAAAAGCUGUUUUUAUAGCAGCUGUUAGCAGCCCAAACCUCAAGUUGUGCUUGAAGGGGAGGGAAAAGAGGGAAAGUGGGCAACCAGUUUUCCCUAGCUUUUCCAGAGUCCUGUUACAAGGUCUCCCCACAAGUGAUUCUCUGCCACAUCGACACCCUGUGCCUUUGGCCUAAUCACAGACCCUUCACCCCUCACCUUGAUGCAGCCAGUAGCUGGAUCCUUGAGGUCAUGAUGCGUAAUCGGUUUCAAGGUUAUGCCCAAUCUGUGUAGUAUUGGGUUGACACAUCUACAAUAAGGAUUUUAUGAAAUAAAAACCAAUGCUCUCUCA